UCCACUCUCCAAGGUCAGGUGUUUACUCAAUAAUUUCACCUUGGAGUCUAAUUUCUCUUGUUCUAACAUGAUUACUGGGACAUCAAUUGUACCCCUUGGAUUCUACACUCUUCAAGAUAUUUGAAAUGUUUUUCAACCCAAGAUUCUACCACGAAAUCACUCAACUCUUAGCCUCUGACUAACUUAGAAUUCUCAGUUUUUCCUCACUCCCACCUCAUGUUCAACACCCUGUAUAUAUAGACAUUGCUCUAUUCGCCUUGCGCUUGAAGAAACAGUCCUUGCGCCUAUCAGACUUUCCGAGCAAGAAAGCGGUACCAUUGAAGAAACCGUCUUGCGCUUCAAGAAACAUCCAUGCGGCCCAUCAGACUUACUGAGCAAGAAAACUACCUAGCAUUUCAACUUCCUUAAAAGCAAGCAGCGGCUUCAGAGUAAAAAUGCCUCGCGUUUUCCAUAGAAUGCUCCCAACACGAUUUUGAGACACACACAAGACCCAUUCUUCUCUUAUUCGGCACAUGCCACUACUUUCCAAGGAGAGAUCACACGAUUCAGGUUACCGGUCUGCUCACAUACUUGGUAAAGGGUGAAUAAGUUGACAAGGAAAUCGCCUAAACAGUUGUUGUCCUGAAGGCAUAAGAGAAUAUGAGAAAUUAAAAAACUUAACUCAUUCCUCAUAUAAACAGUUGUUAACAAAUUCCACUGAUAUUCCAUUCUGGAACAAUAGUAUAUGAUAUAGUCUCAUAGCAAGUCUGUUAGCAUGAAAUUUAGUAAUUAGAAGAAAUAUGUGAAGCACAAACCCGAUGAUAUAAAGAUUGAAUAUAAGCAGUGUUUGGUCCCAUCAUGUUUUCAAAGGACAUGAAUCUGAAAUGGUUUUCCCUGGCUUGUAUUGUUCGGAAGUUUGUAUUUUAAGAUUAAUAAUUGAUAAUUGUAGGGCCAUACUAACACCUUUUAUACAAUCACGACAAACAUAAAGUCUCAAUUGAUCUAUGUAGUUGGUAUGAUUAACAAUACAACUAAUGAUUAGCAUUCCCUUUUUUUAAUUUCUAUCUGCUUUAUUUAUGCCAAACUUUUAUUUUAUUGGUCAAGUAUUUAUGCCAAACUUCAUUUUCUUAAAUUUGUAGUAAUUUUCAUUGCUUGUAAUAAAACUUGUAAGACUAUAUAUCAAAUCUAUCCAAAGGGAUCAAUCCCUAUGAUAUCAAAACAAAAGAAGGAA
This 1210-nucleotide long non-coding RNA is filed under the name Medicago truncatula (barrel medic). RNAcentral's name for it is "long non-coding RNA (MTRU_LNC005882)". The record is from RNAcentral. Lineage: Eukaryota; Viridiplantae; Streptophyta; Magnoliopsida; Fabales; Fabaceae.